UACGAAGGGGGCUAGCGUUGCUCGGAAUCACUGGGCGUAAAGGGUGCGUAGGCGGGUCUUUAAGUCAGGGGUGAAAUCCUGGAGCUCAACUCCGGAACUGCCUUUGAUACUGAAGAUCUUGAGUUCGGGAGAGGUGAGUGGAACUGCGAGUGUAGAGGUGAAAUGCGUAGAGAUCGGGAGGAACACCAGAGGCGAAGGCGGCGACCUGGACAGUAACUGACGCUAAACUACGAAAGCGUGGGGAGCAAACAGG
Molecule: ribosomal RNA, 253 nt
Filed under: uncultured bacterium
Lineage: Bacteria
Description: partial 16S ribosomal RNA
Rfam family: Bacterial small subunit ribosomal RNA
Source: RNAcentral